RNAcentral lists this transfer RNA (74 nucleotides) under Scytolyngbya sp. HA4215-MV1. RNAcentral describes it as "tRNA-Arg". It matches the Rfam family "tRNA". Rfam says of the family: Transfer RNA (tRNA) molecules are approximately 80 nucleotides in length. Lineage: Bacteria; Bacillati; Cyanobacteriota; Cyanophyceae; Leptolyngbyales; Leptolyngbyaceae. The record is from RNAcentral. RNAcentral also lists the same sequence under 1 other name.
CCUCCAGUAGCUCAGUUGGAUAGAGCAUCGACCUUCUAAGUCGGCGGUCGUAGGUUCGAAUCCUACCUGGGGGG